Molecule: ribosomal RNA, 2211 nt
Filed under: Shigella sonnei
Lineage: Bacteria; Pseudomonadati; Pseudomonadota; Gammaproteobacteria; Enterobacterales; Enterobacteriaceae
Description: partial 23S ribosomal RNA
Rfam family: Bacterial large subunit ribosomal RNA
Source: RNAcentral
GUCUGAAUAUGGGGGGCCCAUCCUCCAAGGCUAAAUACUCCUGACUGACCGAUAGUGAACCAGUACCGUGAGGGAAAGGCGAAAAGAACCCCGGCGAGGGGAGUGAAAAAGAACCUGAAACCGUGUACGUACAAGCAGUGGGAGCACGCUUAGGCGUGUGACUGCGUACCUUUUGUAUAAUGGGUCAGCGACUUAUAUUCUGUAGCAAGGUUAACCGAAUAGGGGAGCCGAAGGGAAACCGAGUCUUAACUGGGCGUUAAGUUGCAGGGUAUAGACCCGAAACCCGGUGAUCUAGCCAUGGGCAGGUUGAAGGUUGGGUAACACUAACUGGAGGACCGAACCGACUAAUGUUGAAAAAUUAGCGGAUGACUUGUGGCUGGGGGUGAAAGGCCAAUCAAACCGGGAGAUAGCUGGUUCUCCCCGAAAGCUAUUUAGGUAGCGCCUCGUGAAUUCAUCUCCGGGGGUAGAGCACUGUUUCGGCAAGGGGGUCAUCCCGACUUACCAACCCGAUGCAAACUGCGAAUACCGGAGAAUGUUAUCACGGGAGACACACGGCGGGUGCUAACGUCCGUCGUGAAGAGGGAAACAACCCAGACCGCCAGCUAAGGUCCCAAAGUCAUGGUUAAGUGGGAAACGAUGUGGGAAGGCCCAGACAGCCAGGAUGUUGGCUUAGAAGCAGCCAUCAUUUAAAGAAAGCGUAAUAGCUCACUGGUCGAGUCGGCCUGCGCGGAAGAUGUAACGGGGCUAAACCAUGCACCGAAGCUGCGGCAGCGACGCUUAUGCGUUGUUGGGUAGGGGAGCGUUCUGUAAGCCUGCGAAGGUGUGCUGUGAGGCAUGCUGGAGGUAUCAGAAGUGCGAAUGCUGACAUAAGUAACGAUAAAGCGGGUGAAAAGCCCGCUCGCCGGAAGACCAAGGGUUCCUGUCCAACGUUAAUCGGGGCAGGGUGAGUCGACCCCUAAGGCGAGGCCGAAAGGCGUAGUCGAUGGGAAACAGGUUAAUAUUCCUGUACUUGGUGUUACUGCGAAGGGGGGACGGAGAAGGCUAUGUUGGCCGGGCGACGGUUGUCCCGGUUUAAGCGUGUAGGCUGGUUUUCCAGGCAAAUCCGGAAAAUCAAGGCUGAGGCGUGAUGACGAGGCACUACGGUGCUGAAGCAACAAAUGCCCUGCUUCCAGGAAAAGCCUCUAAGCAUCAGGUAACAUCAAAUCGUACCCCAAACCGACACAGGUGGUCAGGUAGAGAAUACCAAGGCGCUUGAGAGAACUCGGGUGAAGGAACUAGGCAAAAUGGUGCCGUAACUUCGGGAGAAGGCACGCUGAUAUGUAGGUGAAGUCCCUUGCGGAUGGAGCUGAAAUCAGUCGAAGAUACCAGCUGGCUGCAACUGUUUAUUAAAAACACAGCACUGUGCAAACACGAAAGUGGACGUAUACGGUGUGACGCCUGCCCGGUGCCGGAAGGUUAAUUGAUGGGGUCAGCGCAAGCGAAGCUCUUGAUCGAAGCCCCGGUAAACGGCGGCCGUAACUAUAACGGUCCUAAGGUAGCGAAAUUCCUUGUCGGGUAAGUUCCGACCUGCACGAAUGGCGUAAUGAUGGCCAGGCUGUCUCCACCCGAGACUCAGUGAAAUUGAACUCGCUGUGAAGAUGCAGUGUACCCGCGGCAAGACGGAAAGACCCCGUGAACCUUUACUAUAGCUUGACACUGAACAUUGAGCCUUGAUGUGUAGGAUAGGUGGGAGGCUUUGAAGUGUGGACGCCAGUCUGCAUGGAGCCGGCCUUGAAAUACCACCCUUUAAUGUUUGAUGUUCUAACGUGGACCCGUGAUCCGGGUUGCGGACAGUGUCUGGUGGGUAGUUUGACUGGGGCGGUCUCCUCCUAAAGAGUAACGGAGGAGCACGAAGGUUGGCUAAUCCUGGUCGGACAUCAGGAGGUUAGUGCAAUGGCAUAAGCCAGCUUGACUGCGAGCGUGACGGCGCGAGCAGGUGCGAAAGCAGGUCAUAGUGAUCCGGUGGUUCUGAAUGGAAGGGCCAUCGCUCAACGGAUAAAAGGUACUCCGGGGAUAACAGGCUGAUACCGCCCAAGAGUUCAUAUCGACGGCGGUGUUUGGCACCUCGAUGUCGGCUCAUCACAUCCUGGGGCUGAAGUAGGUCCCAAGGGUAUGGCUGUUCGCCAUUUAAAGUGGUACGCGAGCUGGGUUUAGAACGUCGUGAGACAGUUC